RNAcentral lists this long non-coding RNA (1357 nucleotides) under Junco hyemalis (dark-eyed junco). Its description in RNAcentral is "lncRNA (ENSJHYG00000003799.1)". Lineage: Eukaryota; Metazoa; Chordata; Aves; Passeriformes; Passerellidae. The record is from RNAcentral.
AUGAAAUCCAUAAUCCUUACAGGAUUGCUUACUCCAUCUGAGGUUUUGUUACAUCCAGCAAUUUUCAGGAUUCACUGUUAUGAUCCCCACUGCAGCUAUGACUCUCUUCAAGAUACAUAUUUUCUCUGGCUAUAUAACAACUCUUCAGCUUUAAGAGCAUUUUCUCAGCACUGUUUUAACUACUGCAGCACAGCUCGAAAUACCAUCAAGAUGAGCAGCUCUGUGCCUGUGUGGCUUCUGGGCUGUUCAAGGGUGGUUCCUGUGCUGAAGCUGUGCCAUAUGACUGGUGAGGAGGCUGUUGGUACCUGGCCAAGUGAAGCAGAACCAGGAGGGGCUGCUGGGGCUGCUAUUUGCUGAAACUUGGAUUCACUCUCUUGGAAGAUUCCUGGAUCUGACAUUAAGUGAAUACUGCCAUCUCCUGCUUGUAAAAUGCCCAGGAUCACCUGCACCCUUCAGCUCUCUGAGGUGUGAAUGGAUGUUUAGGUAUUAGUAUCUGCAGCUGAGGAAAUUGGCUGCUUGGCUCUUGCUUUUUGCCACUGUUCAUAUAAUUUCAAAGGCAGCUUCAACAUGAAACAUUGAAGACUUUAAAGAUGAAGACUAAAAAUAAUGUAUGGCAGAGACACCAUGGUGUGAUUAAUAACUAUUCUGCUAUUUUUAUUAAUUUACUACCAUGGCUCCUGUUAGAUGUUAUGUGAAUUUGUAGUGGAGUCACACUUUAUAAACAGACUUCUGGAAAAAUUGAAAAGUCUUCACAGAAUAGCAAACAGUGAUAAGAUUGCAAUGAUAUUUUUUUUGUUUUGCAUUUAAAAUGAACCACACCUUUCCCAGGUAUUGGCUUUCAGGCUUUUCUUCCUUUUGUGGUGGCAUAUUUUGAAUGUGUUCUUCAGUUCUUUUCUGAUAGGUGAUACUUAUUUGAAACCCUUUGGUACUUUUGAGCGUGAUAAAGGCUUGUUAGUUUGCUUUUGGGAAGAGUUACCCAAAUUGCUCCUACAGAAGAGCUGGACACAAUUGAUGUUUUCUUCUCCUCUUGUGUAGCUAGGGAGUAUUUUUGGUGCCAUUUGGUGCAUAACCUCAUUGCAGGUAUCAUUUUGUUUCAGUAGUUUCUGCAUAUAUAGGAAAGUAUAAAUUAAUGUUUGAUUACUGUUAAAUUAUUUAUAAUGUUGACUGAAAUUAUGGAAAACUAUUUUUCCUCUCAAUAGAGUAGAUUAAUCUGUUAAAAGACCUGUGCUUUUCACUUCCUUGUGCCAGCCACCAGUAUUGGAAGGAGGGGAGAUGAAGAAUUACCUCUGCAAAACUUAAGGUCUGUGUUUGGGAAUUAGCAUUUGGAAUACAGGACCUGCCAUUGUAACAUGGCACA